CCCUUAGAUGUUCUGGGCCGCACGCGUGCUACACUGAGUGGAUCAGCGGGUCAGGUUGCGCGAAAGUGUUUCCUAAUCUUGAAAUCCGCUCGUGAUGGGGAUUGACGGUUGCAAUUUUCCGUCAUGAACGAGGAAUACCUUGUAAGCGCGGGUCAUCAUCCCGCGCUGAAUACGUCCCUGCCCUUUGUACACACCGCCCGUCGCUCCUACCGAUUGAGUGGUCCGGUGAGGCUUUGGGAUCUGAGCAAAAAGAGCGUUUCGCUCGUUUGGCUCGGAAAACUCAGUCGAACCUUAUCAUUUAGGGGAAGGAGAAGUCGUAACA
This 322-nucleotide ribosomal RNA is filed under the name uncultured eukaryote. RNAcentral describes it as "partial 18S ribosomal RNA". It matches the Rfam family "Eukaryotic small subunit ribosomal RNA", at positions 1470 to 1796 of the family's 1831-position model. The record is from RNAcentral.